CGUCAGUGAAGUCAUCUCUAAAAACACGAAGAUGUAACAGUUUCAUUUCAACUGGCUGAGCUUGUUAAGUGGAAACAGAAUUUUUCUUUACCUUUCCAGAUUUGGACAUCUUCUUCAAGCUUUUGGUACACUGGCGUGGCGGACCAGACAAAGAAGCCUCCCGGCCUCAAGACACGAAAAUUGCUCAUAGACGUCGCGUUUACAGUCAAUGAGAUCAAAAGACCAAACCUUCUGCAUGCCAUGGAACCCGACAUCGUGCACAGUGGACCAGAUCGAAGACCCUGCUUGGAAACGGGAGUCUCAUGGAGCCCAUAACAGCUGAAAUUGCCGGAAUUCCCCUCUCCAGUGCGAACUGCACCUGGGCCUCGUGCUCAUCCUUCGGCGCGAACGACAUUGUGAGGACAUCUCUCUCAAAAAGGUGUCUCAUCUGAUACUUGAAAUGACACGGAGAUGAGAGAAAGGACUUACAGUCUGGAGGAAAUCGAUGUAAUGGAGCGCGCCAUGGAUGAACUGGGUACCUCCUCCAGGGAAGGUUAGGAAUUCUCCCAUGACCUUGACC
Punica granatum (pomegranate) is the source of this 559-nucleotide non-coding RNA. The record is from RefSeq and is a predicted model, not a curated record. NCBI's taxonomy places the organism in Eukaryota, Viridiplantae, Streptophyta, Magnoliopsida, Myrtales, Lythraceae.